CCUACGGGGGGCUGCAGUGAGGAAUAUUGGUCAAUGGACGAGAGUCUGAACCAGCCAAGUAGCGUGAAGGAUGACUGCCCUAUGGGUUGUAAACUUCUUUUAUAAAGGAAUAAAACGAGGCACGUGUGCCUUUUUGCAUGUAAUUUAUGAAUAAGGAUCGGCUAACUCCGGGCCAGCAGCAGCGGUAAUACGGAGGAUCCGAGCGUUAUCCGGAUUUAUUGGGUUUAAAGGGAGCGUAGAUGGGUUGUUAAGUCAGUUGGGAAAGUUUGCGGCUCAACCGUAAAAUUGCAAUUGAUACUGGCAGUCUUGAGUACAGUUGAGGUAGGCGGAAUUCGUGGUGUAGCGGUGAAAUGCUUAGAUAUCACGAAGAACCCCGAUUGCGAAGGCAGCUUACUAAACUGUGACUGACAUUGAUGCUCGAAAGUGUGGGUAGCAAACAGGAUUAGAUACCCUGGUAGUC
This 460-nucleotide ribosomal RNA is filed under the name uncultured bacterium. Its description in RNAcentral is "partial 16S ribosomal RNA". It matches the Rfam family "Bacterial small subunit ribosomal RNA", at positions 338 to 795 of the family's 1533-position model. The record is from RNAcentral.